CGUAGCUCAGUGGAUAGAGCAACCGUUUCCUAAACUGUAGGUCGAAGGUUCAAUUCCUUUCGAG
This 64-nucleotide transfer RNA is filed under the name marine eukaryotic metagenome. It matches the Rfam family "tRNA", at positions 6 to 65 of the family's 71-position model. From Rfam's summary of the family: Transfer RNA (tRNA) molecules are approximately 80 nucleotides in length. Their secondary structure includes four short double-helical elements and three loops (D, anti-codon, and T loops). The record is from RNAcentral.